Molecule: long non-coding RNA, 2883 nt
Organism: Carassius auratus (goldfish)
Lineage: Eukaryota; Metazoa; Chordata; Actinopteri; Cypriniformes; Cyprinidae
Exons: 3
Source: RefSeq, a predicted model, not a curated record
AAGGCGACCCGGCUAUUUUCCGGAAAUAUUGCGGGUCCGACGUGCAGUGUGAAAGGGGCUAAAGAUUUCAGAUGAUGGAAACUAUAGAUGAACAUGCAAAGCUGCUAAAUAAUCCUUAUAUUGUAAUCAUUGCCCUAAAAGGGAGGAACUUGUCAGCAAAUCUACUUCACAGCACAUCAGUGAAAGCAGUUACAGACGUGUGUUGGAUCAGGGUCAGAUCUGAAUUCUGCAGGUUUCCUGUGAUGACCGUUGAAGAGAUCAGCACAUCAGAUGUUGGCCUGGACAGCUGUACCUACAGUACACCACACUGACUUCUUUGCAUGGAUAGCUGACUACUACUAUUAUGUUCUGUGAAGGUAUUAUUAUAGCUAAUCUGAGCACCUGUGACAGUGGAAAUGUUGUAAUGAAUAGUCACACAUGCAUAUUUGUAAAUUGAAAGUCACAGAUAAAUCUUUUAGUACUAACAAUGUUUUUUUUUUUUUUUUUUUACUAAAAUUCUCUCCAGCAAACACAACACAACAGUUACACCAUUUCAUAUUCUGAGGUGCACAAACCCUAUUCUACAAAUAAGAGAACAACAGUAUAGACCCUUUGUACGUGACGUCACCCUCUACUCGCGCGAAUUGUGAACGCCAUGACGGACGGCAGAAGAGCUUUGCUGUAGGACGGACCGCAAGCCAAACGAGUACGAGUUCGUGUUCGUUCGUGUAAUAAAAUGUUUUUGUUUUUUUUUACUUGUAAGCACAGUGCAGUGAUAAUGGUCAAACUGUGUAUUUACAAUGUUAAAGUGGCUGACAACAAUAAAUAUUCUUAUUAGGAAUAAAACUGCAUUGUUUUUUAACUGUGCAGAGCAGUAACGUUAGCUGAAUAGUUAGGCCUAUUACGCUACUGUAAUUUUAAUAUUGGUCAUUGUGGUGGUACUUGGACAGCCAAAUAUUUUCUGAGGUGGUACUAACUGCAUUAGAAAGUUGCAUUGGCACACCCAGUAAACAACGGUAACUUGAAAACGGAGGAAAAAGGUAAGGAUCGUAUCCAAUCCCACGAUCUCCUAAUUCUCCAAAUACCGUUCUUUGUGAGCACCUACCAGAUGCCCUACCUCGACCGAUAAUGACACGACAGCUUGUUUAAUAGAAGAAGCCAUAAAGUUUAGUGUUAUUUAUUUUAAACUGAUUGAAACUUUUUUUACAGUUCGCACAUGCUUUAUUUUAUUUUUUUACAAAUUAGAGCAAAUUGAAUGGAAAUUAAUUGAAUAGAAAAUGUAAUUGCUUUUGGAAAAUGGCGGAAGACUCAGCUGCUCAAAUUAAUAAAGGCAGGUCAUUCUACCAUGAUCUUAUCUACAAAUACUACUAUUCUCAUAAAGUCUGUAAAUAUGUCCAGUUCUAAUAAACACAUUUCAGGAAAAAAAAACUAUUCAAUAAUAUGAGAAAAAUGAAAUGCAGCCCUGCAUAAAUCCUGCACAACUGAGGCUGUGAUUUUUUUAAUUUGUAGAAUAGGAUUCAUGCACCUGUAGUGAAGAUUUUGAGAAGGUUUUGUUGUGUUUGUGAGAGAAAGAGAAAGAAACAAAAACAAGCUUGCAACCCCAAAAACAUUUUCUUGAUGAUUUAUUGAAAUAUUGUCUACAAAUACAAAUUCCAAUGUCACAAGUGCUCAAUUUUGUUAUAUUAAUGUACAAAGUGUCUCGAUUGUACAGUAGAUGUACUGUAUCCAAAUAUAACAGGGACAUUAAUAACUGAAUAUUCAGGGGAUGCAAACUUAUCACUUUUAAGUAAAAAUGUACAUUUUGAAUCCAAAAAUCAUUUGCAUGUUUUGUGUAGAUCCAAAGAGUUUUUAAAAGCGAAUUAGUUAAAUAGCACAUGCUAAAUAACACAAGCAAUUUUUUGUUUACAUUUUAUAUAUGUAAUAAAAAGAAAAAAAGGCUGUCAGUUUUUUAAGGUUCUGCCUUGCAUCUUCUUUUGUGACCCACUGAAAAUAAGUCAAACACAUUUGGCCAUAUAUAUAUAUAUUUUUUUUUUUUUAUUCAGUGAAUAUAGCUUUUAAUUUAUUACUUGACACAAUUUAUAUUAGCCUAUAAUAUACUUUAUACCUAUUUGUGUGUGUAUUUGUGUGUGAAAGCAUUUUCUUGACUUAGAAGGUUUGUGCUCUACACAUGUAUUUGUAACUGUGUAUAAACUUUAUUGUAUAAAUAAUAAAGAAAUUGUGACUGAAUGUGAUGUGUUUAAUAAAGUUUUACUUAUACAGGCUAAUUUAUUGAGUACUAAAUAUGUGAAAUUUUUAAAACAAGCAGAAAAUGUGAACAGUACAGUAGUUUUACCCAAAUGAAAUCAACGUCGUUUCAACGUUAUGUAAGCAAACCAAUUAGAUCGAUUUUUUGUUGAAAACGUAUUGAUUCGCUGACGUCGUUUCAACUGACUGAAAAUCAACGUCGAUUCAACGUUAGGUAAGACAACCAAUUGCGUCGAUUUUCCGUUAGUUUUGAAUGGCGUGCCUGACGUCGGAUCAACGUAAACCCGAUGAGCAAAAACGAUGUUGGAUCGACGUCGGAGAUCAACGUCGUUUCGACGCCGCGAGAAACGUCGAUUCUACGUUGAUUCUAUGUCAGUUUGCUAUCUGGGCAGUACCCAAGAGGAAUACUCUAAUACUUAACCUCAAUUAACAUCCUUUAUGAACAGAGGAACAUUAGACAUAAUAUGAUAUGAAUACCGUUUUUGAACGAAAAGCAUUUCUAGAGUAAAAGUCUCUUUCUGCACUGAACACAAGUGUUAUUAAAGUAAAUCACUCCAGCGCUAUUCAUAUGAGAAGCUUGAAAGCGAACCUAAUUACGCAAAAUAAUCUAUGCAUGACACCAAAAAGCAAACAAUAGCGAAGAAAGAGAAGAAAAAGAGC